This 477-nucleotide ribosomal RNA is filed under the name Anaplasma phagocytophilum. RNAcentral describes it as "bacterial SSU rRNA". It matches the Rfam family "Bacterial small subunit ribosomal RNA", at positions 92 to 604 of the family's 1533-position model. Lineage: Bacteria; Pseudomonadati; Pseudomonadota; Alphaproteobacteria; Rickettsiales; Anaplasmataceae. The record is from RNAcentral.
UUAGUGGCAGACGGGUGAGUAAUGCAUAGGAAUCUACCUAGUAGUAUGGGAUAGCCACUAGAAAUGGUGGGUAAUACUGUAUAACCCCUGCGGGGGAAAGAUUUAUCGCUAUUAGAUGAGCCUAUGUUAGAUUAGCUAGUUGGUAGGGUAAAGGCCUACCAAGGCGAUGAUCUAUAGCUGGUCUGAGAGGAUGAUCAGCCACACUGGAACUGAGAUACGGUCCAGACUCCUACGGGAGGCAGCAGUGGGGAAUAUUGGACAAUGGGCGCAAGCCUGAUCCAGCUAUGCCGCAUGAGUGAGGAAGGCCUUAGGGUUGUAAAACUCUUUCAGUAGGGAAGAUAAUGACGGUACCUACAGAAGAAGUCCCGGCAAACUCCGUGCCAGCAGCCGCGGUAAUACGGAGGGGGCAAGCGUUGUUCGGAAUUAUUGGGCGUAAAGGGCAUGUAGGCGGUUCGGUAAGUUAAAGGUGAAAUGCCA